This 262-nucleotide ribosomal RNA is filed under the name uncultured bacterium. Its description in RNAcentral is "partial 16S rRNA". It matches the Rfam family "Bacterial small subunit ribosomal RNA", at positions 240 to 502 of the family's 1533-position model. The record is from RNAcentral.
AUUAGGCAGUUGGUGAGGUAACGGCUCACCAAACCCACUAUCCAUAGCUGGUCUGAGAGGAUGAUCAGCCACACUGGCACUGAGACACGGGCCAGACUCCUACGGGAGGCAGCAGUGAGGAAUAUUGGGCAAUGGACGAAAGUCUGACCCAGCCACGCCGCGUGCAGGAUGACACCCCUAUGGGGCGUAAACUGCUUUUAUAUGGGAAGAACCCUCUCGAUUCGUCGGGAGCUGACGUACCAUACGAAUAAGACCGCUAACU